Molecule: long non-coding RNA, 469 nt
Organism: Mytilus californianus (California mussel)
Lineage: Eukaryota; Metazoa; Mollusca; Bivalvia; Mytilida; Mytilidae
Exons: 2
Source: RefSeq, a predicted model, not a curated record
UAGUCCAUGUACAUUUUGUUCAUUUCAAAACAAUAUCAGAUCUAUUGUCUUUACUGACUUCAUAUAUUAUAUCCGUAUAUUACAGGUAUGCCGAUGUUGGUAAACAUAAGUUUGACGUUACAACGUAUAACAACUGUACACAAAUGUGGUUUAUGAUUGUCGAUUUUACUGAUGUAGGUCGUGUUCGGAACCAGAAUUGCUUUAAGAUUCCAAAUUUAGAUGCGCCAUUUUUCGUGUAUUCGACUAAAGGCACACAUGCGAACACUCCUGGAGACGUUGAUUUUGCUGAUGUCUUAGUCAUAUAUGGUGACGUAGAAACCUAAACAUUCAGAUCGAUAUUUUGCCAAGAUAAUCUAACUCGUUUUGGCACUUUAAGGUUGUCAAUUUAACACUGUAAGAACAUUUGUGAAUAUCGUUUUUUAUAUGUACAAACAUUGGUUUUGUUAGCAAUAAAUAAAUAAAUACUAAA